This 1276-nucleotide ribosomal RNA is filed under the name metagenome. RNAcentral's name for it is "bacterial LSU rRNA". It matches the Rfam family "Bacterial large subunit ribosomal RNA", at positions 1666 to 2925 of the family's 2925-position model. The record is from RNAcentral.
CCGGGGUAGAGAAUACCAAGGCGCUUGAGAGAACUCGGGUGAAGGAACUAGGCAAAAUGGCACCGUAACUUCGGGAGAAGGUGCGCCGGUGAGGGUGAAGCAUUUACUGCGUAAGCCCACGCCGGUCGAAGAUACCAGGCCGCUGCGACUGUUUAUUAAAAACACAGCACUCUGCAAACACGAAAGUGGACGUAUAGGGUGUGACGCCUCCCCGGUGCCGGAAGGUUAAUUGAUGGGGUUAGCUAACGCGAAGCUCUUGAUCGAAGCCCCGGUAAACGGCGGCCGUAACGAUAACGGUCCUAAGGUAGCGAAAUUCCUUGUCGGGUAAGUUCCGACCUGCACGAAUGGCGUAACGAUGGCGGCGCUGUCUCCACCCGAGACUCAGUGAAAUUGAAAUCGCUGUGAAGAUGCAGUGUAUCCGCGGCUAGACGGAAAGACCCCGUGAACCUUUACUAUAGCUUUGCACUGGACUUUGUAUUUGCUUGUGUAGGAUAGGUGGGAGGCUUUGAAGCGUGGACGCCAGUCUGCGUGGAGCCAACCUUGAAAUACCACCCUGGCAACUUUGAGGUUCUAACUCAGGUCCGUUAUCCGGAUCGAGGACAGUGUAUGGUGGGUAGUUUGACUGGGGCGGUCUCCUCCUAAAGAGUAACGGAGGAGUACGAAGGUGCGCUCAGACCGGUCGGAAAUCGGUCGUAGAGUAUAAAGGCAAAAGCGCGCUUGACUGCGAGACAGACACGUCGAGCAGGUACGAAAGUAGGUCUUAGUGAUCCGGUGGUUCUGUAUGGAAGGGCCAUCGCUCAACGGAUAAAAGGUACUCCGGAUAACAGGCUGAUACCGCCCAAGAGUUCAUAUCGACGGCGGUGUUUGGCACCUCGAUGUCGGCUCAUCACGUCCUGGGGCUGAAGCCGGUCCCAAGGGUAUGGCUGUUCGCCAUUUAAAGUGGUACGCGAGCUGGGUUUAGAACGUCGUGAGACAGUUCGGUCCCUAUCUGCCGUGGACGUUUGAGAUUUGAGAGGGGCUGCUCCUAGUACGAGAGGACCGGAGUGGACGAACCUCUGGUGUUCCGGUUGUCACGCCAGUGGCAUUGCCGGGUAGCUAUGUUCGGAAUAGAUAACCGCUGAAAGCAUCUAAGCGGGAAACUAGCCUCAAGAUGAGAUCUCACUGGAACCUUGAGUUCCCUGAAGGGCCGUCGAAGACUACGACGUUGAUAGGUGGGGUGUGUAAGCGCUGUGAGGCGUUGAGCUAACCCAUACUAAUUGCCCGUGAGGCUUGACCC